Molecule: transfer RNA, 73 nt
Filed under: Acidiphilium cryptum JF-5
Lineage: Bacteria; Pseudomonadati; Pseudomonadota; Alphaproteobacteria; Acetobacterales; Acidocellaceae
Rfam family: tRNA
About the family: Transfer RNA (tRNA) molecules are approximately 80 nucleotides in length. Their secondary structure includes four short double-helical elements and three loops (D, anti-codon, and T loops). Further hydrogen bonds mediate the characteristic L-shaped molecular structure. tRNAs have two regions of fundamental functional importance: the anti-codon, which is responsible for specific mRNA codon recognition, and the 3' end, to which the tRNAs corresponding amino acid is attached (by aminoacyl-tRNA synthetases). tRNAs cope with the degeneracy of the genetic code in two manners: having more than one tRNA (with a specific anti-codon) for a particular amino acid; and 'wobble' base-pairing, i.e. permitting non-standard base-pairing at the 3rd anti-codon position.
Source: Rfam by way of RNAcentral
GAGCCCGUAGCUCAGUUGGUAGAGCACGAGACUUUUAAUCUUGGGGUCCAGGGUUCGAAUCCCUGCGGGCUCA